Molecule: transfer RNA, 71 nt
Filed under: Marmota monax (woodchuck)
Lineage: Eukaryota; Metazoa; Chordata; Mammalia; Rodentia; Sciuridae
Description: tRNA.Ala
Rfam family: tRNA
About the family: Transfer RNA (tRNA) molecules are approximately 80 nucleotides in length.
Source: RNAcentral
GGGGUUGUAGCUCAGUGGUAGAGUGCUCGCCUAGCAUGUGUGAGGCACUGGGUUCAAUCCUCAGCACCACA